GACGUAGGGCGCGAGCGUUGUCCGGAUUUAUUGGGCGUAAAGAGCUCGUAGGCGGCUUGUCGCGUCGAAUGUGAAAACUCGGGGCUCAACUCCGAGCUUGCAUUCGAUACGGGCAGGCUAGAGUUCGGUAGGGGAGACUGGAAUUCCUGGUGUAGCGGUGAAAUGCGCAGAUAUCAGGAGGAACACCGGUGGCGAAGGCGGGUCUCUGGGCAAUAACUGACGCUGAGGAGCGAAAGCGUGGGGAGCAAACAGG
RNAcentral lists this ribosomal RNA (253 nucleotides) under uncultured bacterium. RNAcentral's name for it is "partial 16S ribosomal RNA". It matches the Rfam family "Bacterial small subunit ribosomal RNA", at positions 524 to 776 of the family's 1533-position model. The record is from RNAcentral.